This is a non-coding RNA of Perca flavescens (yellow perch), 319 nucleotides long. Lineage: Eukaryota; Metazoa; Chordata; Actinopteri; Perciformes; Percidae. The record is from the annotation of a RefSeq genome assembly.
ACAUCAGGCUGUCAGUGGAGUUCACAGCACGUCAGUUUCAACAUAAACCAUGUUCUCUGGAGCUCUGCUGCUGCUGUUGGCAGCUGGAUGUGUGAAGUGUGAACAGUUGACCCAGCCAGCCUCUGUGACUGUGCAGCCAGGUCAACGUCUGACCAUCACCUGUCAGGUCUCUUAUUCUCUCAGCAGCUACUACACAGCUUGGAUCAGACAGCCUGCAGGGAAAGGACUGGAGUGGAUUGGAAUGAAAUAUACAGGCGCUUCAUACUACAAAGAUUCACUGAAGAACAAGUUCAGUAUCGACUGAGAGACUUCCAGCAAG